CUAAGAAUAUUCCGCAAUGGACGAAAGUCUGACGGAGCGACGCCGCGUGGAUGAAGAAGGCCGAAAGGUUGUAAAGUUCUUUUGCUAGGGGAGAAUAAGUGAGGGAGGGAAUGCCCUCAUGAUGACAAGGACUAGCGAAUAAGCCCCGGCCAACUACGUGCCAGCAGCCGCGGUAACACGUAGGGGGCGAGCGUUGAUCGGAAUUACUGGGCGUAAAGGGCAUGUAGGCGGCUUGGUAAGCCUGGCGUGAAAGACGGCAGAUUAACUGUAGGAUGCGUUGGGAACUGCUUAGCUUGAGUUACGGAGAGGGAGCUGGAAUGCCUGGUGUAGGGGUGAAAUCUGUAGAUAUCAGGAAGAACACCGAUGGCGAAGGCAAGCUUCUGGUCGAUAACUGACGCUGAGGUGCGAAAGUGUGGGGAUCAAACA
RNAcentral lists this ribosomal RNA (426 nucleotides) under uncultured prokaryote. RNAcentral's name for it is "bacterial SSU rRNA". It matches the Rfam family "Bacterial small subunit ribosomal RNA", at positions 355 to 774 of the family's 1533-position model. The record is from RNAcentral.